RNAcentral lists this long non-coding RNA (9165 nucleotides) under Manihot esculenta (cassava). Its description in RNAcentral is "long non-coding RNA (MESC_LNC012298)". The record is from RNAcentral. Lineage: Eukaryota; Viridiplantae; Streptophyta; Magnoliopsida; Malpighiales; Euphorbiaceae.
UUAGACAAAGACAAAACCUAAUAGUUUAAUGUUCAGGAUAAACCUCUCAGACACAACCCUUGUCCUAAGAUGUAUAUUGCUUAGUAUGUAUAUGCAUAAUGGGAUUUUGUUUUCAUGUGACAGGAAUAUGAACUACAGACCAAAGAAGUGGAACUGCUCAAACAAGAAGUGAACAUUUUAAUGCAGUCUGCAGAAAAGUUAACUGACAAAAUUGAGUUUAUCAACUUAUUAUAUCGUCUUGGUGUGUCUUAUCAUUUUGAAAAUGAAAUUGAAGAACAGUUAAAUCAUAUCUUCAAUAUGCUUCCUGAUCUUCUUGCUGAAAAUGAUUAUGACCUCCACACUCUGGCUCUUCUAUUUCAAGUUCUCAGACAAUAUGGAUACAAGAUGCCUUGUGGUAAGUAUAAUAAUUUCUUGUUUACUAUAAUGUCUUUGAAAUUUAAACAAGAAUAACGAGUAUAAUGGAUGAUCAAUUAUUAUAUAUGAAUCAUCAGAUGUGUUUGAAAAAUUCAAGGACAGCGAUGGAGCUUUCAAGAAAACAAUCUGCAGUGAUGUGAAAGGACUCCUUAGUUUAUAUGAAGCCACCUUUCUGAGCGUGCAUGGGGAAGAUAUUUUAGACGAAGCCCUUGUUUUUACAAGGCAAAAUUUGGAAACCUUAGUUGCUCAAUCAAGCCCUCCUCUAGCAGAACGCAUAAGGAAUGCUCUUGUGCGACCAUUCCACCAAGGCAUAGAGAGACUAGAGGCUCGACAAUACAUUUCUUUCUACGAAGGAGAUGAGUCUCGCAAUGAAACUCUCCUCAAAUUUGCAAAGUUGGAUUUCAAUCGAUUGCAACUCUUGUAUAAACAAGAGCUAGCCAUCCUCUCCAGGUAAGUGAUAAUCAAACUGUCGAAAAAUGAUAAUAAAAAAUAGUUAAUUGAACGUAAUCUUACAUUUCAGCUGGUGGAAAGACUUGAAUCUUGUAGAGAAGCUUCCUUAUAUAAGAGACAGAAUCGUAGAAGUUUAUCUGUGGGCAAUUGGAGCCCAUUUUGAGCCUGAAUAUGCUCUUGCUCGACUGAUGAUCACCAAGUAUACAAAGAUGGUAUCUGUAGUAGAUGAUACGUAUGAUGCUUAUGGAACAAUUGAUGAACUCCAACGUUUUACAGAUUCAUUUCAGAGGUUUGAUAAAGAAAAUAAUGAUAGCUAUAACUAAUUAAUUAAUUUGUAUAUAUAUAUAUAUAUAUAAUUUGGCUGACCAAAUUUUAUUUUCCUUGAAAAAAAAAAUCUAGAUGCAAUGCUGAUGCUAUUGAUGAGGUGCCAGAAUAUAUGAAAGUUAUUUACAAGAGUCUCUUGAAGCUCUUUGAUGAAACUGAAAGUACUGACGAUGAAGAAAUGUCCUAUAGAACCUCUUAUGCAAAAGAGAGGGUAAGAGUUGUCCAACAAUCUUUUCAUCAAUUAUAAAAUCAAUAUCUUAAAAUUAUAUUAAGAUAAUAUUUUACUAAUAAUUUAAAUAAAUUACAGCAUGGAAGAGAUUUAGAAUAAACUAAUUUGAUGAAUUAUUAUUAUAUAAUUGAUGCAUUACUUUUUUAUGUUAUUAUUAGUUCAAAGAACUUACAAGAGGAUACCUUCUUGAGGCAAAGUGGUUUAAUAAUGGGUAUGUGCCAUCAAUGAGAGACUACAUAGAAAAUGGAUUAAUCACAAGCACUUACAGUGUACUUCCAUCAGCUUCCUUCAUCGGAAUGGAAAAGGUUGUCGGAACCAAGGAGUAUCACUGGUUGGAAACUAAUCCUAAAAUCGUUGUAGCUUCCAAGUUAAUUUGUCGUUUGAUGGACGACGUUACCACUCGAGAGGUAUGAUUUACUUUUUAUAAUUUAAUUUUAUUUGAAAUAGAAUUAAUUUGUUAAUAUUUGAAGGAUGAGCAAAGGAGAGGACAUUGUGCUUCAAGCGUGGAGUGCUACAUGAAAGAACAUGGAGUAUCAGAAAAGGAAGCAAUAGGAGAAAUUCAGAAAAUGUGUGAAAAUGCAUGGAAGGACAUGAACGAAGCAUGCAUGAAGCCAACUGCUGUCCCAAGGGCUCUUCUCAAGUAUUAUGUAAACCUUGCAAGAGUGAUUGAUUUUGUUUACAAGUACAUGGAUUCCUACACAUAUGCUUCCAGUCUCAAACAGGACAUUUCCUCAUUGUUUCUUGGGCAACUGCCCAUGUAAACAUCCACUGCUGCUUUUCAUCUGGGUCCCUAAUGCCUAAUGGGAUUUAAUUAAAUAGGCUAGAUUUUGUGGAAUUUGUUGUUUGGUGUUUCAAGUUUGGAGUCAUGGUCUUUUUGCUUUGUUUGAAGUUGCUGGUCAGAGUUUCUGAGUUGCUAUGCAUUUGAAUCUUGUAUCAGGUUUUCUUACCUAAUAUGAUUGGAAUAGAUUGAACUUGUUUUAUGAAGUUUUUCUGAUUCUUUAUUACUAACAAAUGAAAAAGUUUUAGAAGAAUUCAGUCUAUUAUGAACUUAAGAGAUCCCAUCUAAUUUAUUUUAUGAAGAGAUGAAGCCAUUUAUAUGCGGGAAUCUUCUUGCAUAUUAUUUAUAAAAAAAUAUUAAAAAUAAUUUUUUUUUACAAAAGUAUAUAAAAAAUAAUUAAUAAUUAAAAUUAUUAUUAAAAAUAGAUAAAUUUAUUAUUUUAAAAUUAUUUUUAUUUUUUUAAAUGGAUAAAUAUGAAAAAAAUAUUUAAAUAAAUAAUUAUUUAAGAAAAAUUAUAUAAAAUUAUUAUAAUGAAAUCAUAUAUUUUUAAAAUUUUAUAAUGAAAUAAUAAGUGUGACACACUAGGAGCUUGUCUACAUAUCUUUGCACCAUGUACAUCUCUCAAUUCUGCUUUUUGGAAUAAAGCAGUUAGGCUCUCAGCACAAAUAAUAAUAAAGAGAUAUGAUAAAAGUAAAUCACCUUGUCGCAGCCUUCUAUCGGGGAGGAUAGGACCAAACUCAGAUCCAUUGAAAGAGAUGGUGUACAAAAUUGAAGUAACACACAUCAGAAUGAGGUUAAAAAACUUUUCAGCAAAACCUAUAUCUAAUAGUAUAAGUCGCAAAUAUUUUCAAUCAACACAAUCAUAGGGUUUACUGAUAUCAAUAUUAAAGGCAACCUCUCCCUUCUUACCUCGAGUCUUUCAUUUCAUGUGGUGAAUAAUCUCAAAAGCAAUCAUAAUAUUAUUAGUGAUGAAUCUUCUUGGAAUAAAAGAAGACUGUGUAGAACUCGGUUAUUACAUGUUUAUACAUUGUAUAAAUAUAUCAGUGUAUUGGUUCUAUUUUAGUGUAAAUCUUUAUUAGACUUAGAACUGAUAUUUCUGUUAGAUGAGUUCAUCGUAAUGCUAGUCUAUUUGCUCAUACUUUGACUAUAGAAUAUAUCAGACAUAAUCAUCUUUCUGUUUGAAAUAAUAUUCCUUUUUAUUUGAUAAAAUUUUAUUAAUAUAAUCAGUAGUUUUACUUUUUUUAAAACAUAGUGUAUUGAUUUAGACUAAUUAUAUAAUACGUAGAUAUUAAUUCCAGAAGGAAUUAUUUUAUUAAGUGUUUAAUUAAUUAAAUUAAUGAAUUUAAUUUACACCAUCUUGACUUAAAAUUAAAUUUAAAAAAUGAGCUAUUUAAUUUUUUUUUUUUUAAAAAAAAAUUAUAUGGAUUAAAGAAGGAUUUGGCACCACAAAAUGGGCCUCACUAGACGUUAUUGGAAAAAGAAAAGCAUUUGGGCUUUAAUUUGGUUCAAAGCCCAUUGUAUAUUUCCUUCAAAGAAGAAUUUAGCCUCCUUGUUAAGUGUUCUUAAUGACUUUAAUUCAACACUUGGCAAUAUGAUAUGCAACCAUUUGGUGGCUUAAUGAAUCAGAGUGAAGCUUGAUGGACAAGUCUCCACACCAAGUCUAUGUUUGGAUACGUAAGAAAAUUGGAGGGAAAGGAAAAUAACUAUAAAAAAUAAUUAGUAUUUUCCCUUUCCUUUAUUUAGAAAGAGAGGAAAAAUAAAAGUUUCUUCGGUUAUUUUUUAUCCGAUUUGAAGAAAAAAACAUGUAUUUUUAUUUUAAAUUUACAUAUGUAUCACUAUAUGAACAAUAAAAAAAAUAAAAAAUAAAAAUAUAAUAGUAAAUUUAUAAAUAUACUUUACGUUAAAUUUUAUAGACUAAAAAGUAAUUUUGCCUAUAAUCAAUUAGUUCAAACUGAAAGUUUUUCUAUCCAUAAUUCUAUUAGUCAAUUAGAUCAAAGAGAUAAUAAACCUUUCAAAUAACCAAAAUACACUCCGUAAAUAUUUAAAUUUUUUCUAAUAUAGAUAAAUAACUUUAUAUUAUAUAAAUUAUACUUUCGUCUCUAAAUUUUAGCAUAAUUAACAGAUCAAUUCUUAUAAUUUUAAAAUUAAAUUCUUAAAUCUCUCUAUAUUGAUUCGUCUAAAAUUAUAGUUUUUCAUUUAUUAUAGAAAUUAGUUCAAAACUAAUGAGUGAUCCAACUUUUUCUGAAGGUAUAAUUUUUUUUUAAAAUAUUUUUUUUAAUAAAAGUUUACAAUAUUAUUUGAUACCAUUUAAAAAUAGUUAAAAUUAAAAAUAUUUUCUAAAAGUUUUGAAAUUAUAAAUACUGAUAUAUUUUAAUGAAUAGAAAUUGAAGAAUAAAAAAUGUUAAAAAUUAGUUAAAUGAGAUAUUAUAGAUAAAGGUUAACGGAGACUUAAGUGUUCUUUCAAAUAAAAAAUGAAAGAUCAGAAUGUUUGAAUUAUUUUAGAUGAAGAUAAAUUGAUUAUGAAGGGUUUAAGUGUACGAUUUUAAAAAUAUAGAGAUUAAUCCAUUAAUUAUGCUAAAAUUCAAGAAUUCAAAUGUAAUUAAUUUAUUUAAGAGAGAUAGUAAAGAAAUUUUUACACUUUUAAUAAUAAAAAUGGAUAAACAGAUUAAUGAUAUAGAGAUUUAAAUAUUCGAUUUUAAAAAUACAGAAAUUAAUCUAUUAAUUAUGUUAAAAUUUAAAGAUUAAAAUAUAAUUUACCUUUAAUAAAAUAAUCCCUUAAUUUAAACUUUUAUAUUCUUAAUUGAAAUUAAUUUAUAUACUUUUAUUAAAUGAUCCCUAAAUAUUGUAGUUAAACUACAAUAAACUUUUAUAUUUAAAGUUUUAUACUUACAAAUUAAUUUUUAUCUAUUAAAUUGUAAUAUUUUAUAUGUGAAAAUAAUAACAUAAAUAAUAAAUAAUAAAUUUAUAUUUAUAUUUUUUAAAUAAAUAAAUCAUUGAUAAGGAAAAAUUAAAUAUUGAUAAAGAAAAAUUAAACGGAAAAGAAUUUUUUGGGCUCAAAAUUUAAAUGCAUAUUAUAUAAAAAUUUAUUAUUUAAUUUUUAUUUUAUUAAUUUAUUAUCAAAUAUAUAAAUAUUAAAUUCAAUAAAUAUAGAAAAUUAGUUUGUAAAAAAUAUAAAUAUUUAUUUAUAAAAUUAUAAUAUUUAAAAACCAAUUUGUAAAAAUAUAAAAUAACAUUAUAAUUAAAUGAGUUAUUUUAUUAUAAAAUAAGACUUUAUAAUUAAAUUUAAAAAUAUAUAAUUAAAUUAUAUUGAGUUUAUAAAAUUUUAUGAAUUAAAAUAUAAUUUAUGUUAAGUUGAACUUUCUUUAGCGAAGGAGGUUGUUUAUUUUCUUGGGAGAUUGAUUUGAAUUUCCCAACUGUUGCUAUUUUUAAUUAUUUAUUUAUUUUUAAACAUAUUGACUUUCCUAAAAUAAAAAAUAAAAGCUGUACUUGUCAAAUAUGAGAUUUUUAUGGAAAGAAUUCAAAUUUCGUAAUUAUUGAAAAAAAAAAUGAAAAUGAGAAAGAGACUGCCAUCACCAACCGGCAGUCCCUGCGCUGCAGCUUUAAAAAUGAAAUAAAAAUAAAAUGCAAUUUGUAGUUAAAAAAUUAAUAUGAGAUUUUCUAAUAACUGAUUGUUUCUUUCUGAUUACGAGUUGUUGUUCGUCAUCUUUUAACAACUCCUUAAUCAAAAAAAUUUGAUUACUUUUUUGUCAAUGGUCAAUUUAUUAUUUGUUUUGUGUAUCACUAAAUAUAAAUUCUUCAAAAUAAAUUUUAAAUAUCAAUUUAUUUUUGUUGAAAUAAUGCACAAAUAUGCUAGAAAUAUAAAAAUUUAUCGUCAAAAUAUUAAAAAAAUAUAAAAAAAUAAUGAUAUAAUCUUUUCGAAACUUUUAAAAAUUCUAAUCCCAAUAUAUUUUUUUAAAAUCUCACAUAAUAUAAGACAGAAAAAUAAAUAUAAAUAUUUAUAACUUUUCAUACGACUCUAUACAUAUAUAUUUCUAUUUUUUAUUUAAUUCGAAUCGUAGUAAAAAAUAUUUUAAAUUAGAUUACAAUUCGAGCCGAAAUAAAAAUAUACUCAAAUUUCAAGCUACAUAACCAUUGAAUUAAUAAUUUUAUAUGAUAUUAGAGUUUUAUCAUUCAAUAUUAAAUCUUUUAUUAGUGUUUUGCGCUUUAACGGUUUGAUUUUAAAUGUAAACAUUUAUAUUAAAUUUUUACAAUUUCAAAAUAAUAUUCUGCUUAUAAAAUUUUAUUUUAUUUUUAUUUAAGAUAACUUUUAAUCAUAUUCUAUUCCUUAAGACUUUAUCUCUCUAUGAGUAGCUAAACAAAUAAAUUUUAUACAUUUAAUAUAUUAGAUUAGUCGAUUUUUUUUUUCAAAAUCAAAUUAAAGCCGUUAAGUGGAUUAUUUAAAUUUUAAUAUUAAAUCAAACUAGAUUAUGUAGUAAAUUAGAUUAAAAUUUUAAAAUUAAAUUUAAUAAAUUAUUUUAGUUUAAAUCAAAUUUUGUUGACACCUUUUUUAAUAUAAUUAAGGAGAGCACUUUCUUGUGGUAGAUAUAUUCGGUAAAUUAUUAUUAAGUUAUUGUAUUUUAUUAAAACCAAUUAUUUAGUUUUUUCUAAAUCUAAUUAAAAUAUAAAUAUAUUUUAUUAAAUUAAAUUAUUUAAUUAAUCAAUUUAUUUUAAUAUAAUAAUCAAAAGAGAUCAAAUAAAAUGAAUAGUUAACCUGAACAAAGUAAGUUAAAAUUAAAUUACUAAAUGAAAUAAAAUUCAAGAAUAAAGAUAAGUUUAGUUAACGUUAUUUAAAAAUAAAAAAGUUUGAUUUUUUAAAACAUGGUUGUUUUAAUGGUAUUUUAAAAUAAAGAUAAGCAGUUAAUGUUUAUCAAAAUAUAUAGAAAUUAUAUUAUUGAUCGGUUUCGGUUCGAUUUGAUUCGAUUUAGUUUCAAUUUUUAAUAAUUUUUUUAUUUUUUACACUUUAUUUUUAAUAUUUUAAAAUUUAAUUAAAAUAUUUUAAUUGUAAUAUAAUUUAAUUUCUCUAUAUUAUUAAAAAUAACAUAUUAUUAUCACUAAUCGGUUCGGUUUGGUUUUUUCGAUUUUUUUAUGAUUAAAACCGAACCGAACCGAAAUAAAUAAAAUUUCUGAAAUUAAAAAUCGAAUCGAACCGAAUUUAAUAAAAAAUCAAACUGAAUUUUGAAAUUAAUUCAGUUCGAUCGAUUUUUUCGAUACUCACCUCUAACCCAACCAAAUUCCAAUAAAUUAUAAAAUGUCCAUUUCACAAUUAAAAGAUUAUCAAAUUUCACAACCUUACUAGAAUUGGACAGCUUCAACUAUAAAUAGAAGUGCUUUGAUCAUACUCGUAAAGUAUAACUUGCUUAAUUCUUUAAAGAUGGCUACACUAGCUAGAAAGGAAGGAGACGUUUUCCGUCCACUAGCAAACUUUCCUCCUAGUGUUUGGGGUUAUAGUUUUGCCAAAUUUUCAUUUUUAGAUCCUGUGAGUAUCUUCACCACCUCUUUUUCUCUUUCAACUAUAUAUUUAUUUCCAUUGCAAUUUCUUAUAAACUAUUUCAUCAAAAUAUGGGGAUUGAAAAUAUGAGAACUCCUAUUUAAAUUUACAGGGCAAUAUAAUAUGUAUUUAACCGCUAAAUCUGAAUUAGACCAGACGAUAUAUAUAUUUUAAAAGGAAUUAACGAUAUAGAAAUUUGAACCUGAAUCUACGAGAUAAAUUAUAUGCUUUUUAUCAUUAGAUCAAACUAAUCGAGUAAUAUAUAUUUUUACUGUUGGACCAAAUCAAACUAAAUUUAAAGAUUGGAAUAUGAGGAGUUAAACCUAGGAGAUAAGUAAUAUGAUUUUAGUUACUAAACUAAAUUAGGUUAAAUUUUAUUAAGAUAUUCUUGUUAUAUAUCACUAUUAAAUGUUAAGCUUUAGAGAAUUAAAAUAACGAUUAUAAAAUUAUUAUCUUAAUACUACUAACACAAUCAUUUUAAAUUAUUAUAAAAAAAUAUAUUUUUUAUUAAAUAUAAUAAUAUAUUUCAAUUAAAAAUAUUUAUUUUUAAUAAAAUUAUAAAUUUAGCCAUAUUUUUUAUUUGUUAUAAAAUAAUAAAUCAUUAUUUUAUGUUUAUCGGCCAAUACUAAUACAACAGAUUUUAAAAUAUUAUUAUUAAAAUAUGAUUAUAAUUAAAAUAAUAAUUUAUUAUUGUUAUCUUAAAUCUAUUUUUAUAAUAGUGUAUUGAUGGCAAGGUGAAAUUGGAUGUAUUAUGUAUUGGUAUGGCUCAUUGCGUCAGGGCUUAGUAAGUAUUUUUCAUAUGAUAUAUUAGAAACUAUAGCAGAAAAUUCCCAUUUAUUGAUUCAAGGCCUAGAAAAUUUUGGGCAGUAAAAUGGACAUUCUCCGCUAUCCAAAUUUCUAGGUCCGACACACAGGAGAAUUCAUUUUCAAUACUCCGAGAAGGUAUUGUUAGAAAAGGCAGCCACAAAUUCAAAGAAAUAUUCUUUUCUGCACAGUAAAAUAGAUUUUGAAAGGUACCAUGAUGGAAGAUAAGAAUAAUUUUAUUAAAAUUAGACCAAGACAAAACCUAAUAGUUUAAUGUUCCUCUCAGACACAACCCUUGUCCUAAGAUGUAUAUGCAUAAUGGGAUUUUGUUUUCAUGUGACAGGAAUAUGAACUACAGACCAAAGAAGUGGAACUGCUCAAACAAGAAGUGAAUAUUUUAAUGCAGUAUGCAAAAAAGUUAACCGAUAAAAUUGAGUUUAUCAACUUAUUAUAUCGUCUUGGUGUGUCGUAUCAUUUUGAAAAUGAAAUUGAAGAACAGUUAAAUCAUAUCUUCAGUAUGCUUCCUGAUCUUCUUGUUGAAAAUGAUUAUGACCUCCACACUCUGGCUCUUCUAUUUCAAGUUCUCAGACAAUAUGGAUACAAGAUGCCUUGUGGUAAGUAUAAUAAUUUCUUGUUUAC